GAGGGCAGAGCUCAGUGGUAGAGCACAUGCUUAGCAUGCAUGAGGUCCUGGGUUCAACCCCUAGUACCGCCA
Camelus ferus (Wild Bactrian camel) is the source of this 72-nucleotide transfer RNA. It matches the Rfam family "tRNA". From Rfam's summary of the family: Transfer RNA (tRNA) molecules are approximately 80 nucleotides in length. Their secondary structure includes four short double-helical elements and three loops (D, anti-codon, and T loops). The record is from Rfam. Lineage: Eukaryota; Metazoa; Chordata; Mammalia; Artiodactyla; Camelidae.